Molecule: long non-coding RNA, 270 nt
Organism: Mytilus trossulus (common blue mussel)
Lineage: Eukaryota; Metazoa; Mollusca; Bivalvia; Mytilida; Mytilidae
Exons: 2
Source: RefSeq, a predicted model, not a curated record
AAUAACUAACCAUUCACUUCCUUGUAAAGGAAAGAGUUCAAUAUACGCUGUUGAAAUGAAGAAUAUUACAUUUAACAUUUUAAGAUUGUCUCUUGUAUUAUUAUCAUUUGCAGAAAAAUCACACGGGUUAUACUUUGAACACUUGUUAUGUGAAAAUCGUCAAACAAAACUCAACUGUUCUGUCGGGAACUCAAUAGACGAUAUUAACAUUACAAUUCAUGGUGUAAAAGAUGCAAGGAGUACCACUGAUAACGUUCAAAAAGGAAAUGU